This 72-nucleotide transfer RNA is filed under the name Zea mays. It matches the Rfam family "tRNA". From Rfam's summary of the family: Transfer RNA (tRNA) molecules are approximately 80 nucleotides in length. Their secondary structure includes four short double-helical elements and three loops (D, anti-codon, and T loops). Further hydrogen bonds mediate the characteristic L-shaped molecular structure. tRNAs have two regions of fundamental functional importance: the anti-codon, which is responsible for specific mRNA codon recognition, and the 3' end, to which the tRNAs corresponding amino acid is attached (by aminoacyl-tRNA synthetases). tRNAs cope with the degeneracy of the genetic code in two manners: having more than one tRNA (with a specific anti-codon) for a particular amino acid; and 'wobble' base-pairing, i.e. permitting non-standard base-pairing at the 3rd anti-codon position. Lineage: Eukaryota; Viridiplantae; Streptophyta; Magnoliopsida; Poales; Poaceae. The record is from Rfam by way of RNAcentral.
GCCUCCGUUGCAUAGUGGUAGUGUGUUUGCUUUGUAAGCGAAAGGUCGCGAGUUUGAUCCUCGCUGGGGCUU